This 31-nucleotide non-coding RNA is filed under the name Rattus norvegicus (Norway rat). The record is from RNAcentral. Lineage: Eukaryota; Metazoa; Chordata; Mammalia; Rodentia; Muridae.
UGCAAGAAAGUGCACGGGACUAUGAGCACCU